CUAUAAUCCGUGGCUUCGGGCAAUACGUUCUUGGUGCAACUUUUGUUGUUGUUUUCUUUGUGUUUUCUGCCACAAUAUGGCUAAUUUUGUAUGCAAAGCUUUAAGGUGGAAUGCACACAGACGUAAUCGUGGGUAUAUAAAACACGCCGAUACUUAGCAGCAAGCGUCGACUUAUGCCCGUAUACCUGUUUGCCUGCUCGGUCCGAGUAUACAAUGUCUGUUUCAAAGUCUACACAACUCUUCUUCCUUGCUGUGACUAUCAUAAUGCUAAAUCAGCAUAUGGCAGAAGCUUACGGCAACGACGCGCAUCAUGCCCCUGGAAAUGGACAUCCUUAUGGUAAUGACGGGCUCCAACCUCCAAGAAAUGGUACCCUCAUAGACAGCGGAGGCCUUCCUCCUCCAACGUGCAACAGACAGCAGUGCAAGUUUAAAGUAAAUGGGAACUCUACUGGUUGCCCUCAAGAUUGUCUAUGUCAGAGUGAUGGAGAUUCAAGCCAGGAUGGACCAGGAAAAUGCCGCGAUAUGCCAUAAAAUUACUUCCUGGUAAUGCCGCAAUUGAAAAAGAAAAUAA
Dermacentor silvarum is the source of this 571-nucleotide long non-coding RNA. RefSeq lists it as uncharacterized. The transcript is spliced from 3 exons. The record is from RefSeq and is a predicted model, not a curated record. NCBI's taxonomy places the organism in Eukaryota, Metazoa, Arthropoda, Arachnida, Ixodida, Ixodidae.